CUUGACAUCCAGAGAAUUUAGCAGAGAUGCUUUAGUGCCUUCGGGAACUCUGAGACAGGUGCUGCAUGGCUGUCGUCAGCUCGUGUUGUGAAAUGUUGGGUUAAGUCCGCAACGAGCGCAACCCUUAUCCUUUGUUGCCAGCACGUAAUGGUGGGAAACUCAAAGGAGACUACCGGUGAUAAACCGGAGGAAGGUGGGGAUGACGUCAAGUCAUCAUGGCCCUUACGAGUAGGGCUACACACGUGCUACAAUGGCGCAUACAAAGAGAAGCGACCUCGCGAGAGCAAGCGGACCUCAUAAAGUGCGUCGUAGUCCGGAUUGGAGUCUGCAACUCGACUCCAUGAAGUCGGAAUCGCUAGUAAUCGUAAAUCAGAAUGUUACGGUGAAUACGUUCCCGGGCCUUGUACACACCGCCCGUCACACCAUGGGAGUGGGUUGCAAAAGAAGUAGAUAGCUUAACCUUCGGGAGGGCGUUUACCACUUUGUGAUUCAUGACUGGGGUGAAGUCGUAACAAGGUAGGCGUAGUGCU
RNAcentral lists this ribosomal RNA (530 nucleotides) under uncultured bacterium. RNAcentral describes it as "bacterial SSU rRNA". It matches the Rfam family "Bacterial small subunit ribosomal RNA", at positions 980 to 1509 of the family's 1533-position model. The record is from RNAcentral.